This 301-nucleotide ribosomal RNA is filed under the name uncultured bacterium. RNAcentral describes it as "partial 16S ribosomal RNA". It matches the Rfam family "Bacterial small subunit ribosomal RNA", at positions 509 to 809 of the family's 1533-position model. The record is from RNAcentral.
CAGUAGCCGCGGGAAUACGAAGGGGGCUAGCGUUGUUCGGAAUCACUGGGCGUAAAGGGUGCGUAGGCGGGAUCUUAAGUCAGGGGUGAAAUCCCGAGGCUCAACCUCGGAACUGCCUUUGAUACUGGGGUCCUUGAGUCCGGAAGAGGUGAGUGGAACUGCGAGUGUAGAGGUGAAAUUCGUAGAUAUUCGCAAGAACACCGGUGGCGAAGGCGGCUCACUGGUCCGGAACUGACGCUGAGGCACGACAGCGUGGGGAGCAAACAGGAUUAGAUACCCGCGUAGUCCCUGUCUCUUAUAA